AACGAACGCUGGCGGCAUGCCUAACACAUGCAAGUCGAACGAGACCUUCGGGUCUAGUGGCGCACGGGUGCGUAACGCGUGGGAACCUGCCCUUAGGUUCGGAAUAACUCCCCGAAAGGGGUGCUAAUACCGGAUAAUGUCUUCGGACCAAAGAUUUAUCGCCUUUGGAUGGGCCCGCGUUGGUUUAGCCAGUUGGUAGGGUAAAAGCCUACCAAGGCGACGAUCCAUAGCUGGUCUGAGAGGAUGAUCAGCCACACUGGGACUGAGACACGGCCCAGACUCCUUCGGGAGGCAGCAGUGGGGAAUAUUGGACAAUGGGGCGAAGGCAGAUCCCGCAAUGCCGCGGAAGUGAUUAAGGCCUUAGGGUUUUAAAGCUCUUUUACCCGGGAUGAUAAUGACAGUACCGGGAGAAUAAGCUCCGGCUAACUCCGUG
This 433-nucleotide ribosomal RNA is filed under the name uncultured bacterium. RNAcentral describes it as "partial 16S ribosomal RNA". It matches the Rfam family "Bacterial small subunit ribosomal RNA", at positions 29 to 507 of the family's 1533-position model. The record is from RNAcentral.